Molecule: transfer RNA, 73 nt
Filed under: Oopsacas minuta
Lineage: Eukaryota; Metazoa; Porifera; Hexactinellida; Lyssacinosida; Leucopsacidae
Description: tRNA-Ser
Rfam family: tRNA
About the family: Transfer RNA (tRNA) molecules are approximately 80 nucleotides in length.
Source: RNAcentral
CGCUUAUUAGUUUAAUGGAUAUAACGCACACACUGCUCAUGUGAGAAUCUGGGUUCGAUUCCCAGAUAAGCAU